RNAcentral lists this ribosomal RNA (667 nucleotides) under Enterobacter cloacae. RNAcentral's name for it is "bacterial SSU rRNA". It matches the Rfam family "Bacterial small subunit ribosomal RNA", at positions 876 to 1533 of the family's 1533-position model. Lineage: Bacteria; Pseudomonadati; Pseudomonadota; Gammaproteobacteria; Enterobacterales; Enterobacteriaceae. The record is from RNAcentral.
GGGAGUACGGCCGCAAGGUUAAAACUCAAAUGAAUUGACGGGGGCCCGCACAAGCGGUGGAGCAUGUGGUUUAAUUCGAUGCAACGCGAAGAACCUUACCUGGUCUUGACAUCCACAGAACUUUCCAGAGAUGGAUUGGUGCCUUCGGGAACUGUGAGACAGGUGCUGCAUGGCUGUCGUCAGCUCGUGUUGUGAAAUGUUGGGUUAAGUCCCGCAACGAGCGCAACCCUUAUCCUUUGUUGCCAGCGGUUAGGCCGGGAACUCAAAGGAGACUGCCAGUGAUAAACUGGAGGAAGGUGGGGAUGACGUCAAGUCAUCAUGGCCCUUACGACCAGGGCUACACACGUGCUACAAUGGCGCAUACAAAGAGAAGCGACCUCGCGAGAGCAAGCGGACCUCAUAAAGUGCGUCGUAGUCCGGAUUGGAGUCUGCAACUCGACUCCAUGAAGUCGGAAUCGCUAGUAAUCGUAGAUCAGAAUGCUACGGUGAAUACGUUCCCGGGCCUUGUACACACCGCCCGUCACACCAUGGGAGUGGGUUGCAAAAGAAGUAGGUAGCUUAACCUUCGGGAGGGCGCUUACCACUUUGUGAUUCAUGACUGGGGUGAAGUCGUAACAAGGUAACCGUAGGGGAACCUGCGGUUGGAUCACCUCCUUACCUUAAAGAA